GAUGAACGCUGGCGGCGUGCCUAAUACAUGCAAGUCGAGCGAACAGACGCGGAGCUUGCUCCUCUGACGUUAGCGGCGGACGUGUGAGUAACACGUGGAUAACCUACCUAUAAGACUGGGAUAACUUCGGGAAACCGGCGCUAAUACCGGAUAAUAUAUUGAACCGCAUGGUUCAAUAGUGAAAGACGGUUUUGCUGUCACUUCUAGAUGGAUCCGCGCCGCAUUAGCUAGUUGGUAAGGUAACGGCUUACCAAGGCGACGAGGCGUAGCCGACUUGAGAGAGUGAUAGGCCACACUGGAACGUGAACGCGGUCCAGACGCCUACGGGAGGCAGCAGUAGGGAAUCGUCCGCAAUGGGCGAAAGCCUUGCGGAGCAGCGCCGAGUGAGAGAUGGAGGUCUUCGGAUCGUAAAACUCUGUUAUGAGGGAAGAACAAAUGUGUAAGUAACUAUGCACGUCUUGACGGUACCUAAUCAGAAAGCCACGGCUAACUACGUG
Molecule: ribosomal RNA, 497 nt
Filed under: uncultured bacterium
Lineage: Bacteria
Description: partial 16S ribosomal RNA
Rfam family: Bacterial small subunit ribosomal RNA
Source: RNAcentral